AUCCAUCUUCAGUUUUCACAUCACACAGAUACAGACCAGAGUCUUCAGUCCUCAGUCUGGACACAUGGAGUCUGAUUCGUCCUUCUCUGAGGACGUCUUUGUCACUCUGGACUCGUCCUGAAAACUGUUCAUCCUGAGAUUCUGGAAGCUCAAAUCCAUUAUGGACCUGAUAGAGAACUAGUUCUUUAUGAGGAGCCAACAAGCUGCAGUAGAUGAACAGUUCCCUGUAGGAUCCCUGAGUCUUGGUGGUGAAGGUCCACUCCAGAGUGAUGCUGUGGUUCUCCUCUGCCUGAUAGCUGCUCUGUGUCACAUUCACUACAAAUGUUGCUGCUGAGGAGACAGAGAGGGAAAGAGAGGAGCAGACACACUGAGAACUGGAACAUGGGAGUCUUUCAGCUCCAUCUAGAGAGCUUUCUGUCACAAAGACAAGAUGGAGACUGACCACAGAGACAUGAGCUGAGGAUGAGGAGCAGCAGGAU
Long non-coding RNA from Gambusia affinis (western mosquitofish), 479 nucleotides. RefSeq lists it as uncharacterized. The transcript has 2 exons. The record is from RefSeq and is a predicted model, not a curated record. Lineage: Eukaryota; Metazoa; Chordata; Actinopteri; Cyprinodontiformes; Poeciliidae.